This is a long non-coding RNA of Ricinus communis (castor bean), 918 nucleotides long. RefSeq lists it as uncharacterized. The record is from RefSeq and is a predicted model, not a curated record. Lineage: Eukaryota; Viridiplantae; Streptophyta; Magnoliopsida; Malpighiales; Euphorbiaceae. The transcript is spliced from 3 exons.
UCUGUGCCCGGCGAGGGCCAUAUAGAUCUUCAGAAACGCCAUAGAGUGUGAGGGGAACGCGUGGCCCUUUAUGCCCUAGGCAACAAAGGACUCAUACUUCACUGAGUGGAAGGUAAAAGAUAGUAUAUGAUUAUUUGAUAAUUUAAUAUUUAUAAUUGAUUAAAUAUUAACAUCUUUUUUUUGUUUGCUGAAAUUUUCACUUGGGAUUCGAGGUACGAGUACUAGCUCUUAUUUAGGAUAAGUAGACAACCGAGAGAUACCGCGACAUGGUAUUAGGUUAGAAGAGGAUCAAGAAGUGGCCUUGAUGUUUCUCGAAGUACACUUAAGCCCACUAGACAGAGUACUAGACAAGCCCGAGGUGAAGGCAGCCUCUGAGACCCAUAAUAAGAACCAUCUUAGUACAGGUCCUGCUCGUCAUACUGAUGGAUCGAGGUCGACCAUCGACCACAGGCUAGAGAGUUGGGUCAUGAGCCUAUAGUCUUUGAGUUAUUCCAUGGAUUGCACAGCAAGACUGAUGGCCAGUUUAUCAACAACAAGUCCUAGCAGAUCGUUGAUGUUGUUGAGACGCGGGCAGCUGCCGCAUCUUAGCCCAGCAAGGUGAUCCUAGAUCGGUUUACAUAUCACAGCUAUUGUCGAGGUCGUCAGUGAGGAGAAAAAGCAGCGCAUAUACGAGUUAGGAUCAGAGGAGCCCACCUUCACCUAACCCCGUAGCUCUGACAGCUCUAGCAACACUACCUCUAAUAGCUUGCAAGAGUCCCUCAAACGCGAGUUACGAGCAUAGUUGGAUCAAGAGUACGGCGCCCGCAUAGCAUAUCUAUAGCGGAUGAUAAGCACAUGGUUCACAUAUUUGGUGUUGGCAUCAUUCCACCACCUGCACCUACUCCUCAAGUCGAUGCCUCUGCGACUGCUACCCCAGAU